ACCAAAGAUGAAAAGGAUCAGCUCCAAGUGAUGAGGAAAAACAAAAACAAGUCUCGAUUGUUUCAAUAUUUCCAGAGGAAAAUCAAAGGAUAAAGUCAAUGCAGGAAAACGGCAGCUCUGCGGGGACAGCGCACAACCGUCCUUCUCCGCAGGCCACACGGCGACCAGCUCCGAGCCACACGCGCGGCGACCCCCGGACAGAGAGCCACUGACACGACGUGAGCGCGGUGCUGCCUUCCUUCCCAGCUCACCUCCAACACUGCGACGUGGACGAAACACUGGGGGAAGGCCUGAGGGGAGCCCAAAGGACGGAACCUCUCACACAAGGUGACCGUGGAGAGCAGGCUUGGACGUGGCCCCGGGGUGGGCCACCCCCGUCGUGCCAGGAUGGUUCAGUCUGUGAAACGGGUUAACGCGGCAACACUGGCUGCCAAGUCACACAUCCAAGACGAGGUUAUAAAAAACGCUGCAGCUCCCGCCUAAGGUUCUCUCCCGCUCCGGCUCUUCCUCUCUCCUCCGUGGCCCACUUGCUCUGCGGGAAGCGGGCUGCCACGCUGAGAGGGGCCCUGUCGAGAGGCCCCUCUGCUGAGGGACGGGAGCUUGGGGCUCACCGCCAGGGAGGGUCUGAGGGUCCUGCCUGUAGCCAUGUGGGUGAUCUUGGAAGAUGCUCCCCUGUCACGCCUUCGGAUGAGACUGUAACCCAGCCAACAGCCUGACUGCAGCCUGCUGCGGGGCCUUGACUCACUGCCACCCGGUGACGCCCAUCCCUAAGUCCUGACCCACAGAAACUGCAGCGUAAGAGGAUCUGCAGGAAUGAGUUGACCCG
Balaenoptera ricei (Rice's whale) is the source of this 826-nucleotide long non-coding RNA. RefSeq lists it as uncharacterized. The record is from RefSeq and is a predicted model, not a curated record. Lineage: Eukaryota; Metazoa; Chordata; Mammalia; Artiodactyla; Balaenopteridae. The transcript is spliced from 3 exons.